CUUGACUAACCAUAAGAGGUCCAGCCUGCCCAGUGACUCAGUUCAACGGCCGCGGUAUCCUAACCGUGCGAAGGUAGCGUAAUCACUUGUUCUUUAAAUGAGGACUAGUAUGAACGGCACCACGAGGGUUAUACUGUCUCCUCUUUCCAAUCAGUGAAACUAAUCUCCCCGUGAAGAAGCGGGGAUAAGACUAUAAGACGAGAAGACCCUAUGGAGCUUUAAAUAAUGCAACAACUGCUGUAAUUUUCUUAGACUUCAGGGUCCAUAACUCUAUAUCAGCACUCUGGCAGCAAAUUUUAGGUUGGGGUGACCGCGGAGCAAAACACAACCUCCACGCUGAAAGAAUUCUACGUUCUUAGCCACGAGCUACUACUCUAAGCACCAACAUAUUGACAUCUUUUGACCCA
RNAcentral lists this ribosomal RNA (407 nucleotides) under Dendrophryniscus oreites. RNAcentral describes it as "partial 16S ribosomal RNA". It matches the Rfam family "Bacterial large subunit ribosomal RNA", at positions 1834 to 2422 of the family's 2925-position model. Lineage: Eukaryota; Metazoa; Chordata; Amphibia; Anura; Bufonidae. The record is from RNAcentral.